This 450-nucleotide ribosomal RNA is filed under the name uncultured bacterium. Its description in RNAcentral is "bacterial SSU rRNA". It matches the Rfam family "Bacterial small subunit ribosomal RNA", at positions 328 to 794 of the family's 1533-position model. The record is from RNAcentral.
UUUCCAGACUCCUACGGGAGGCAGCAGUGGGGGAUAUUGCACAAUGGGGGGAACCCUGAUGCAGCGACGCCGCGUGGGUGAAGGAGUGCUUCGGCCUGUAAAGCCCUAUCGGCAGGGAAGAAGCAAGACGGUACCUGACUAAGAAGCCCCGGCUAACUACGUGCCAGCAGCCGCGGUAAUACGUAGGGGACAAGCGUUAUCCGGAUUUACUGGGUGUAAAGGGAGCGUAGACGGCAUGGCAAGUCAGAUGUGAAAGCCCGGGGCUCAACCCCGGGACUGCACUUGAAACUGUCAGGCUGGAGUGCAGGAGAGGUAAGUGGAAUUCCUAGUGUAGCGGUGAAAUGCGUAGAUAUUAGGAGGAACACCAGUGGCGAAGGCGGCUUACUGGACUGUAACUGACGUUGAGGCUCGAAAGCGUGGGGAGCAAACAGGAUUAGAUACCCGCGUAGA